ACACUCCUCUUCACAUUCCCGACUUACACGCAGAGGGAAAGAGAAUUCAUAAAGGGAAUAUUUUUCUGCCUUUGAAGAUAUUCUCACAAGAUCGUUCUCCACGCCCAAGGCAAGUAAAACGACACAAUCUGGCUCAACUCCAGGCUCGAACCCUACACAUUCAACGAGGCUAUCUCAGACACGCUGUGGCACACGCCACGGGGAGCCAGAGAACGUGUGGUGGGGGUGGCGAAGGUAAUGCCUUUGGGAAGCAGCCAUCUGAGGUGGGAAGCCAGAAAACGAGAGGGAAGGCGUCCAGGAAGAUUACGGAGGGGAGAUCGCGGCCCCCAGAGCGAUCAGAGUUGUCUGUCACAAGGCCGCGAGAACGGGGGUAGGGAGUGGGGGAUCGGGGAGAGAAAAAAAGUAUGCCUGUGUAUUUCGAGCGGAGGGCAGCAAGAGGCCUCUCCUCAAGGGAAAGGUGUGGAAACAGGAAGAGAACUAGAACUGGAAGUAAAGCAUUGAAGAUGUGACUGAAUUGCUGCAAUCUCAUGAUCAAAUUUGAAUGGAUGAGGAGUUGCUUUUUAGGGAUGAGCAAAGAAAGUGGUUUCUCGAGAUGGAAUCUACUGGUGAAGUUGCUGUGAACAUUGUUAAAAUGCCAAUAAAGGAUUUAGGAAUUA
RNAcentral lists this long non-coding RNA (656 nucleotides) under Homo sapiens (human). Its description in RNAcentral is "HSALNT0310260". The record is from RNAcentral. Lineage: Eukaryota; Metazoa; Chordata; Mammalia; Primates; Hominidae.